UGGGGAAUUUUCCGCAAUGGGCGCAAGCCUGACGGAGCAAUACCGCGUGAGGGAGGAAGGCUUUUGGGUUGUAAACCUCUUUUCUCAAGGAAGAACACAAUGACGGUACUUGAGGAAUCAGCAUCGGCUAACUCCGUGCCAGCAGCCGCGGUAAUACGGAGGAUGCAAGCGUUAUCCGGAAUUAUUGGGCGUAAAGCGUCCGCAGGUGGUAGUUCAAGUCUGCUGUCAAAGACCGAAGCUCAACUUCGGGCAGGCAGUGGAAACUGAAGCACUAGAGUACGGUAGGGGUAGAGGGAAUUUCCAGUGUAGCGGUGAAAUGCGUAGAGAUUGGAAAGAACACCAGUGGCGAAGGCGCUCUACUGGACCUGUACUGACACUCAGGGACGAAAGCUAGGGGAGCGAAAGGGAUUAGAUACCCGCGUAGUCC
RNAcentral lists this ribosomal RNA (427 nucleotides) under uncultured prokaryote. RNAcentral describes it as "bacterial SSU rRNA". It matches the Rfam family "Bacterial small subunit ribosomal RNA", at positions 355 to 796 of the family's 1533-position model. The record is from RNAcentral.